GAAUAAAAUCUGUUUAACUGAACCAACUGAUCGACACUGUGGUAGAGUUGAUCUAAAGGUUUUAGAUAGUAAUAUAAGAAUUAAUAAACUCUCUUGAAGUAGGUCGAUGUAAAGUGUGCGUUCCUGUGCCCAGCCGUUGCAAGUCACUUCUCAUCUUGUGGUUUAACUGAGAACAAGUUCUGAAAAAGGACACUCAGUGUAAGUGAAAGCCACAGUAGUCAGACAGAUGAACAUUCAGAUCAUUCCACUUCAUCAUGGCUGGACGCCUGCUGCUGGUUGUUGCUCUGACAUUUUCAGGUUCCUUUAAUGUGGUCAAAGCUGGAGCUCUUCCUCCACCUGAACUCACAGUGAAUCCAUUGGUGAUCACAGAGACAGACUCAGUCACAUUGAACUGUGUGGCGCCACCAUCUGUUUCUGUGUCUCGGUGUCAUUUCUUCAUUGCAACACAAGAAACAUCCAAAAAUGUGUGUGUGGAGACACUGACAGGAACCAAGCUGCUGGAGAUGACACGUAAGCGUUCACCUGCUGAGGUUGAAGUCAGAUGUUAUAUUGUACAGUCUGACGCGAUUCAUUCUACAACUCCAGACAGUAAAACAUCCACCAUCGUCAUAAACAACCUUCUUCCACCUAAACUCACAGUGAAUCCACGGGUGAUCACAGAGACAGACUCUGUCACAUUAGACUGUCAGAUUCCAUCGUCUGUUUCUGUGUCUGAGUGUUACUUCAGCAUUUCAAGAAAACCUGCAGAAAAGUUUUCUUGUCUGAAGACAGUGAAUGGAACUGAACUGCUGUCGUUGGUACAAAAAAAUCCACCUGCUACAGUUGAAGUGACGUGUUUUUACCUGAUUUCACAUCAAUCUCCACACAGUAACAUGGCCUCUGUCUCC
Long non-coding RNA from Acanthochromis polyacanthus (spiny chromis), 887 nucleotides. RefSeq lists it as uncharacterized. The record is from RefSeq and is a predicted model, not a curated record. Lineage: Eukaryota; Metazoa; Chordata; Actinopteri; Pomacentridae. The transcript has 4 exons.